This 72-nucleotide transfer RNA is filed under the name Camelus bactrianus (Bactrian camel). It matches the Rfam family "tRNA". From Rfam's summary of the family: Transfer RNA (tRNA) molecules are approximately 80 nucleotides in length. Their secondary structure includes four short double-helical elements and three loops (D, anti-codon, and T loops). Further hydrogen bonds mediate the characteristic L-shaped molecular structure. tRNAs have two regions of fundamental functional importance: the anti-codon, which is responsible for specific mRNA codon recognition, and the 3' end, to which the tRNAs corresponding amino acid is attached (by aminoacyl-tRNA synthetases). tRNAs cope with the degeneracy of the genetic code in two manners: having more than one tRNA (with a specific anti-codon) for a particular amino acid; and 'wobble' base-pairing, i.e. permitting non-standard base-pairing at the 3rd anti-codon position. Lineage: Eukaryota; Metazoa; Chordata; Mammalia; Artiodactyla; Camelidae. The record is from Rfam by way of RNAcentral. RNAcentral also lists the same sequence under 3 other names.
GAAGGUGUAGCUCAGUGGUAGAGCACAUGCUUAGCGUGCUCAAGGUCCUGGGUUCAAUCCCCAGGACCUCCA